RNAcentral lists this ribosomal RNA (356 nucleotides) under uncultured Glomeraceae. RNAcentral's name for it is "SSU rRNA". It matches the Rfam family "Eukaryotic small subunit ribosomal RNA", at positions 569 to 929 of the family's 1831-position model. The record is from RNAcentral. Lineage: Eukaryota; Fungi; Glomeromycota; Glomeromycetes; Glomerales; Glomeraceae.
AGCAGCCGCGGUAAUUCCAGCUCCAAUAGCGUAUAUUAAAGUUGUUGCAGUUAAAAAGCUCGUAGUUGAAUUUCGGGAUCAUCAGGUUGGUCGUGCCUCUGGUAUGUACUUUCCUCGAUGGUUCCUCCUUCUUGAAGAACCGUAAUGCCAUUAAUUUGGUGUUGCGGGGAGACAGUACUGUUACUUUGAAAAAAUUAGAGUGUUUAAAGCAGGCUCGCGCUUGAAUACAUUAGCAUGGAAUAAUGAAAUAGGACGUUUGAUCUUAUUUUGUUGGUUUCUAGGAUCGACGUAAUGAUUAAUAGGGAUAGUUGGGGGCAUUAGUAUUCAAUUGUCAGAGGUGAAAUUCUUGGAUUUAU